This 90-nucleotide unclassified non-coding RNA is filed under the name Pseudomonas brassicacearum. The record is from RNAcentral. Lineage: Bacteria; Pseudomonadati; Pseudomonadota; Gammaproteobacteria; Pseudomonadales; Pseudomonadaceae.
UGUGGGAGCGAGCUUGCUCGCGAUAGCGUCGGAUCAGCCGGCAUCCCUGUCGACUGACACACUGCUAUCGCGAGCAAGCUCGCUCCCACA